This 422-nucleotide ribosomal RNA is filed under the name uncultured Cenococcum. Its description in RNAcentral is "eukaryotic LSU rRNA". It matches the Rfam family "Eukaryotic large subunit ribosomal RNA", at positions 1 to 419 of the family's 3401-position model. Lineage: Eukaryota; Fungi; Ascomycota; Dothideomycetes; Gloniales; Gloniaceae. The record is from RNAcentral.
UUGACCUCGGAUCAGGCAGGGAUACCCGCUGAACUUAAGCAUAUCAAUAAGCGGAGGAAAAGAAACCAACAGGGAUUGCCUCAGUAACGGCGAGUGAAGCGGCAACAGCUCAAAUUUGAAAUCUGGCUCUUUUAGGGUCCGAGUUGUAAUUUGUAGAGGAUGCUUCGGCGUCGGCUCCGGUCUAAGUUCCUUGGAACAGGACGUCAUAGAGGGUGAGAAUCCCGUAUGUGAUCGGUUGCCCUUGCCAUGUGAAGCUCCUUCGACGAGUCGAGUUGUUUGGGAAUGCAGCUCUAAAUGGGAGGUAAAUUUCUUCUAAAGCUAAAUACUGGCCAGAGACCGAUAGCGCACAAGUAGAGUGAUCGAAAGAUGAAAAGCACUUUGGAAAGAGAGUCAAAAAGUACGUGAAAUUGUUGAAAGGGAAG